This is a long non-coding RNA of Magnolia sinica, 1889 nucleotides long. RefSeq lists it as uncharacterized. The transcript is spliced from 5 exons. NCBI's taxonomy places the organism in Eukaryota, Viridiplantae, Streptophyta, Magnoliopsida, Magnoliales, Magnoliaceae. The record is from RefSeq and is a predicted model, not a curated record.
AAGAUGGCCAACAAUUGAAGAGUUUGGAUGACAAUCUCAUUUUAUUAGGACUGCUCUAGGAUAGCUCUCAUGUGGAAAAAUGCAGGCAUGCCAACUAAUGUGAAUGAGAUCCACAUUGUCCAUCAGGUACACUGCCUCAUGCUCACCCUGGAACUCAAAAAUUAGGCUGGCCCAAAACUUAGGUAUGCCACACCAUAGGGAAGGAUUUGGAUGUGGAUGCCCACCAUUAGUUGUGUGUGGGGCACACAAAAAUGUGAAACUUCCCAUUAUGUGGGCAUGGAAAACACUUUCCUAUGUGUAUGUUUGUCAAUAUAUAAUUAGUAAAGCUCUGUACAAACAAAGCCUCUCUAUCUGCACCACAAAAUGUGGCCACACUUGCUAGCAUCUUACCUGCACAUCAGGUAAAUACCAUAGCAAUAUCAAGAUUAGUGGACCAAAAAAUUACUUAUAAAUUGCCAUCAUGUCGCUUCCACUAGCUCCUGCUUGAGUAUUUGUUGUAGGAUCUAUUCUGUCAUCUAUGAAACUAUCAUCAUGCUCAGUGUUGUCCUUGUCAUCUUCUUCAUCCUCCAACACUUCUGCAUCUGACGAUACCCUGAGCAGAAACAACCAUAAGUCAGGCCUCCAUGAACUGAAUACUUAUUUUCCCAUUUUGAUACAGGAACUGCCCACAAUCUCGAUCUCAGCCUGGGGAUUUCCCCCCCUUCUUUUGCCCAUGGUUCGAAGGAGAGUGAGAGUUCGGCUGGCUUCCAUUUUCAUUGCAGCCCUUUUGAGGUGCCUGAAAACAGGAAAACUAGGGUGAGCUUCACCAUGCAGAUGAUCGGGCCCAUAAAUCAGGCUAGUCCAGUCAUCUGGUGAGCCACAUGUGUGCAUUCAAUGUGGGUCUUUGGCAAAUUUCACUAAACCAUCCAUUGUGUUCCAGCAUGUGUGGCCUGCCUGAUUUUCAGACCAGAUCAUCUAAAGGGUAGAACCCUCUUGCAUGGCUGAGAUGUCCCUCACAUGGUUACCAUGUGCGGCCACGCGUGAGCUUAGUACUGCUAUUGUGUUCAAACAUCUCCUUAUCUUCCAGUGACCCAGAAGUUGUAAUACUUCUUUUUUUUUGUUAGCUUGUUAGUAGACCCCACUAUACUUCACUGUUAGCCACCCCCACUAGGGAUCGAUACCAAGACCUCAAGUGUUGAAACGAGGUUUUGUCUGGUUGGUCCCUGGCCUGCAUUUACAUCUUGGCUGUUAACAGCUGGUGACUAGGGUAAAGGUACAUUCACUCUUUCAAACCUAGGUAUGUUUGGUGUUGAUUGCUUUGAUGCAAUUCCGCCUCCAGGAACUGGAGCAAUCAUGGCCGUUGGAGCAUCCCAACCAACUGCAGUUGCCACCAAGGAUGGCCGGAUUUGUGUGAAAAACAAAACCACAUUACUUCUCUCUUUGUGCUAGAUUUGAAUCUGUUGGCUGUUGCACAGUGACCCGCGAAGAAGUGGAAGGAAGAGCUGCUGACUCUAGGAGUUGCUGGCAGUGAACCUGACAUUGAUGGAGAGGAAAUUGCUCCUCUCGCUAAGGAGAAUGUAGCCACUCCUCGAAAUCUCAAGUCAACCGAUACUAACCUAAGCUUUUUACAACUAACCAUAUCUUUGUAAUUCAUGGAUCCGUUGGCUAGUCACCAUCCCAAGAUGGAAGCACAAUAUUUUUUGCUUAUGGAAGUCCAAUUCUCUUACUACGAACAGAUGUAAUCUUUUAUGUAUGCAACAAACUGAUAGUCUUCUCGCCCCAUUUCUAAGCAUUGUCGGUAAGGUUAUAGAGAAGGAAUGUAAUCUUUCUCCAUGCAUUCAGUUUUCUUUUGUCCCACUGUAACUUCUUAGACAUGUAAUGUACUAGCAAGAUCAUCUAAUUCGCUAAUA